RNAcentral lists this unclassified non-coding RNA (308 nucleotides) under air metagenome. RNAcentral's name for it is "partial contains small subunit ribosomal RNA, internal transcribed spacer 1, and 5.8S ribosomal RNA". The stretch from base 1 to 46 matches the Rfam family "Eukaryotic small subunit ribosomal RNA", at positions 1786 to 1831 of the family's 1831-position model. The record is from RNAcentral.
AAGUCGUAACAAGGUUUCCGUAGGUGAACCUGCGGAAGGAUCAUUAACGAGUUUUUGAAACGGGUUGUAGCUGGCCUUCCUUUAAAUCGGAAGGCAUGUGCUCGCCCUGCUCAUUCCACUCUACACCUGUGCACUUACUGUGGGUUCUUGCUUCUUUGCUUUCUUUCUUUCUCGUCCUUGCGGAUGGGGGUGGAAAAUGCUUCGGGGCUGGACCUACGUUUUAUUACAAACCCUUAUAAGUAACAAGAAUGUUUAUCAUGCUUUAACGCAUUUAUAUACAACUUUCAGCAACUGAUCUCUUGGCUCUC